Molecule: long non-coding RNA, 936 nt
Organism: Chinchilla lanigera (long-tailed chinchilla)
Lineage: Eukaryota; Metazoa; Chordata; Mammalia; Rodentia; Chinchillidae
Exons: 4
Source: RefSeq, a predicted model, not a curated record
CAUUCAGACAAAGGGCCUCUGCCAGGUGACUGGAUCAUAGUGGUGCUAUACUUCUCUGUGAGUCACCCAUUUGUGAGUUCAGCUCCAUGUGCUGCUGGGGGAUGGAGCCUGGUUGGAGGUGGUCCCUGGGAGCUGACCUGGAAGGGUGAGCCCUUCGAUAGCCUGGGCCCUUCCUCCAGUGUGAGUCCUGAAGAAGGAGAUGGAUUCCACAUGAGAAGAGUUCUUCACAGCUGGCUCUGCAGAUGGAGGGAAAUCUGAAGCAAGGAAUGGCAGCACCCUGGACCGCAGUCCUACAGCCACAGCAGGAGGAAUGACAAAGGUGACAGCCCUUCAGGAAAAAGAAAGCCUGAACCUCGGGAUGUGUGGAGGGCCCUGAUGCCUCUCAGAUGACACAGGAAGACGACACAGGACAGGAGCUUGCAGAUAGGCACAAGAAGUAUCUUCAGACUUUACCAGGAGCUUGCAGAGAUUGCCUUACAUCUAGGAGGAGACUUGGGACUCAAACAUUUUAGCAGAAGACACAGAAACAACCCAUGCACCCACAGCCGUCUGACUCUUGACAAAGAAGCCAACAGCCUACACUGGAGAAAAGACAGCCUGUUUAACAAAUGGUGCUAGGAAAACUGGGUAUCUAUUUGCCUAAAAUUAAAACUAGACUCCUAUCUCUCACCUUUCACUAAAAUCAAAUCAAAAUUAUUAAAGACCUAGAUACAGAAACUCUGAAACUGCCUAAAAUAACACAGGAGAAACUCUUGAGGCCGCAGGAAAAGUCAGACUUUCUAAACAGAACUCUAGGUGCACAGAAAAUAAUGUCAAGAAUCAACAAAUAGUAUUCCACCCAUCAAAUUAAAAAGCUUUUACACAGUAAGGGACACAACAGGGUAAAGAGACAACUUACGGAAUGGGAGAACAGUUUUGCUAGCUAAUCUUCUGAUA